AUGAACGCUGGCGGCGUGCUUCACACAUGCAAGUCGAACGAUGAUGCCCAGCUUGCUGGGUGGAUUAGUGGCGAACGGGUGAGUAACACGUGAGUAACCUGCCCUUGACUCUGGGAUAAGCCUGGGAAACUGGGUCUAAUACCGGAUACGACCAUCUGGCGCAUGUCAUGGUGGUGGAAAGCUUUUGUGGUUUUGGAUGGACUCGCGGCCUAUCAGCUUGUUGGUGGGGUAAUGGCCUACCAAGGCGACGACGGGUAGCCGGCCUGAGAGGGUGACCGGCCACACUGGGACUGAGACACGGCCCAGACUCCUACGGGAGGCAGCAGUGGGGAAUAUUGCACAAUGGGCGCAAGCCUGAUGCAGCGACGCCGCGUGAGGGAUGACGGCCUUCGGGUUGUAAACCUCUUUCAGUAGGGAAGAAGCGAAAGUGACGGUACCUGCAGAAGAAGCGCCGGCUAACUACGUG
Molecule: ribosomal RNA, 466 nt
Filed under: uncultured bacterium
Lineage: Bacteria
Description: partial 16S ribosomal RNA
Rfam family: Bacterial small subunit ribosomal RNA
Source: RNAcentral